GUGAAUCAUCGAAUCUUUGAACGCACAUUGCGCUCGAGCCCUCGGGCAAGAGCAUGUCUGCCUCAGCGUCGGUUUACACCCUCACCCCUCCCAACUUGUUGGGUGCGUUUGCUCUGUUUGCAAGCCUAGGGGUGGAUCUGGCUUCCCCAACCAGCCAUCAGGCAGAUUGGGUUGGCUGAAGUGCAGAGGCUUAAGCAAGGACCCGAUAUGGGCUUCAACUGGAUAGGUAGCACCGGCUUCUGCCGACUACACGAAGUUGUUGCUUGUGGAUCUUGCUAGAAGCCAAGUAGGAAUGUGCCU
RNAcentral lists this unclassified non-coding RNA (300 nucleotides) under uncultured fungus. Its description in RNAcentral is "sequence contains 5.8S rRNA gene, ITS2". The stretch from base 1 to 71 matches the Rfam family "5.8S ribosomal RNA", at positions 84 to 154 of the family's 154-position model. The record is from RNAcentral. Lineage: Eukaryota; Fungi.